This 28-nucleotide non-coding RNA is filed under the name Mus musculus (house mouse). The record is from RNAcentral. Lineage: Eukaryota; Metazoa; Chordata; Mammalia; Rodentia; Muridae.
UGAUAACGAAGAUCAGAGCAAUGGAACC